GGCACUGGGCUUGGGAGGCGUACAAGCGACUGUGUUAGGUCCGUCCACUCGUGGCCGUAAACCCUAAUCCAAUCCCGAUCGAGGCGCGGCGGAGCGACCGCAUACUCCAAUCCAUCCACUCCUGAUUCGGUUGCUUCCAAAAAAAGUCCCGAUUGGAGGCGCAGCGGGAGCGACCGCAUCGAAUCCAUCCACUCCAGAUCCGAGGCGCAGAGAGGAUCCAAUGCAUCCAGUCUGUCCCGAUUCAAGGUGCGGUGGACCGACCACGUCGAAUCCAUCCAGCCCGGAUUCGAGGCGCAGAGAUGGCCAAUUCAUCAAUCCGUGAAUCGCCGUCCGGCUGGUCGUCUCUUGAAACUGCUACCGUGGGUUUGAAGGAAGUAAUCACUCUUCAGUUUCUCUCCAGCCAUUCAUGGUGGAUGAUGUGCGCCCCUUGCUGUCAUUAAUGGAUGCCUGGCUCUUUGUUUCUCAUUCUUCCGAUGUGUAUAUAUGCUUCCUCUACGCUCACUCUUCUAACUCCGGCGACAGAACAUCCAUCAGCAUGGUGCUCUUCUAGGUAUUGUUCAAACUGGGAGAUGGUCGAUUGUUUUGGCCAGAUAUUGGAAACUGGUUCUCGCAUCUUUUUUUUCUGAAAUUCUUCAGGUGAUAGUUCUAAUGGCUUCUGGACAGAUUAAAUGGAACAGUGUAGUUAUAUGCGCAAAAGAAUGUAGCCAUACUGUUAUAGAGGGGGGGUGAAGCCUCAGUAUCUUCUUCUAUGCAGAAGUGAGCAAAGCCCAAUAAUCUUACCGAUAUUUGAAAGUAUGUGUGUGGAUUUUCAAGACACGGUGCAGGCUUUGUUGCAUCAUUCCAAGUAUAAGGCAAGAUACACUUGGUUCAGUCUGGGGGCAGUGAUGUCAGCAAAUCGUUGGAAGAGAUCAGGAGGAGCUAUUUUAGUUACGACCUGAGGCACAACGAGCAGGAGGAGUUGGCCAACUGGAGUGCUAGAUUCAGGGCAAGUUUGCCUAAGCACUUUUAUUAGUUCCGUUGAUAAUACCAGGACUGGAGAACUGAAAGCCCUUGUAGAUGCAAGAGGAACAAGAUUGACAACGGCCUUUUGCAUUGCACUCUUGAUAAAGCUUCAAGCUCAAGGCCUUCGAUAUUUGUGAAGUUUUCCAGGAAGAAGAUUGACUAUAGCAUCUUGGAGUGCACUAAUAUUAAUAAAUAAACCCUUCAAUAUUUUUGUCGCCCAAAGGCUACAAGUUCUGUAAUUUACCCCAAAUACUUAGCAUUUUCUCUAACCAAAUAUGAGUGUAAUGUUUCAGAUCAUAUAUUCCCAGUAUUAUUAAGACAUCAUGUAUGUGAAGUUAUUUCUGC
Triticum aestivum (bread wheat) is the source of this 1347-nucleotide long non-coding RNA. RefSeq lists it as uncharacterized. The record is from RefSeq and is a predicted model, not a curated record. Lineage: Eukaryota; Viridiplantae; Streptophyta; Magnoliopsida; Poales; Poaceae. The transcript is spliced from 6 exons.